RNAcentral lists this ribosomal RNA (253 nucleotides) under uncultured bacterium. RNAcentral describes it as "partial 16S ribosomal RNA". It matches the Rfam family "Bacterial small subunit ribosomal RNA", at positions 524 to 776 of the family's 1533-position model. The record is from RNAcentral.
UACAGAGGUCUCAAGCGUUGUUCGGAUUCAUUGGGCGUAAAGGGUGCGUAGGCGGCGCGGUAAGUCAGGUGUGAAAUUUCGGAGCUUAACUCCGAAACUGCAUUUGAUACUGGCGUGCUUGAGGACUGGAGAGGAGACUGGAAUUCAUGGUGUAGCAGUGAAAUGCGUAGAGAUCAUGAGGAAGACCAGUGGCGAAGGCGGGUCUCUGGACAGUUCCUGACACUGAGGCACGAAGGCCAGGGGAGCAAACGGG